Molecule: non-coding RNA, 119 nt
Organism: Triticum aestivum (bread wheat)
Lineage: Eukaryota; Viridiplantae; Streptophyta; Magnoliopsida; Poales; Poaceae
Source: Rfam
GGAUGCGAUCAUACCAGCACUAAAACAUCGGAUCCCAUCAGAACUCCGAAGUUAAGCGUGCUUGGGCGAGAGUAGUACUAGGAUGGGUGACCUCUUGGGAAGUCCUCGUGUUGCAUUCC